RNAcentral lists this ribosomal RNA (208 nucleotides) under uncultured bacterium. RNAcentral's name for it is "partial 16S ribosomal RNA". It matches the Rfam family "Bacterial small subunit ribosomal RNA", at positions 568 to 774 of the family's 1533-position model. The record is from RNAcentral.
CGCGUAGGCGGACUUUCAAGUCGGAUGUGAAAUCUCCGGGCUCAACUCGGAGCCUGCAUCCGAUACUGUUGGUCUUGAGUAUAUCAGAGGAAAGCGGAAUUCCAGGUGUAGCGGUGAAAUGCGUAGAUAUCUGGAAGAACACCAGUAGCGAAGGCGGCUUUUCUGGGGUAAUACUGACGCUGAAGCGCGAAGGCUAGGGGAGCAAACA